GACUGCUCAAAGCUCACAGCAGAUGAAACCUUUCCUGAAUGAAGAGUUGAAUUCGUGAGCUGGAGAUCCUGGACUUCUCUCAUAUAUGUGUGUGUGUGUGUGUGUGUGUGUGUGUGUGUGUGUGUGUGUGUGUGUGUGUGUGUGUGUGUGUGUGCAUGAACGUAUUGUUUUGGUGCAGAGGUGUGUGAAAGGCACACCGGGGUCCAUCCUCUUUCUGAGCCAUAGAUAUACAUAUUAAAAACAUCGACAGCUGACACUACUAACGCCGACACCCUGAAUAUGCCGAUCGUUUCAACAUUUCUUUAUUUUACUUCAGAAAGCAAUGUCUGGUGCGUGACCAUUAUUUCCUGAUCCUUAACGUGCUUAACUGACCUUCAUCAAAUAAAUAAUUAAAUCCAUCAAGCUGAUGUAGCAAACAGAAAAAAAGUGACUGAGACAACACAUGCAAAAGCUAAUAUUCUGUCUAGCAUUUUAGUGGUUGCAGCAAUUUAAGAAAGUCUGCACGCAAAAUGUCUUGUAACAAGUAAAUAACAUUCUGCUGCAGGAAAAAAAAA
Long non-coding RNA from Silurus meridionalis, 554 nucleotides. RefSeq lists it as uncharacterized. The transcript has 2 exons. Lineage: Eukaryota; Metazoa; Chordata; Actinopteri; Siluriformes; Siluridae. The record is from RefSeq and is a predicted model, not a curated record.